UGGGGAAUAUUGCACAAUGGGCGAAAGCCUGAUGCAGCGACGCCGCGUGAGGGAUGACGACCUUCGGGUUGUAAACCUCUUUCAGCAGGGAAGAAGCCACACGUGACGGUACCUGCAGAAGAAGCGCCGGCUAACUACGUGCCAGCAGCCGCGGCAAUACGUAGGGCGCAAGCGUUGUCCGGAAUUAUUGGGCGUAAAGAGCUCGUAGGCGGUUUGUCGCGUCUGCUGUGAAAGCCCGGGGCUUAACCCCGGGUGUGCAGUGGGUACGGGCAGACUAGAGUGCAGUAGGGGAGACUGGAAUUCCUGGUGUAGCGGUGGAAUGCGCAGAUAUCAGGAGGAACACCGAUGGCGAAGGCAGGUCUCUGGGCUGUUACUGACGCUGAGGAGCGAAAGCAUGGGGAGCGAACA
This 408-nucleotide ribosomal RNA is filed under the name uncultured bacterium. Its description in RNAcentral is "partial 16S ribosomal RNA". It matches the Rfam family "Bacterial small subunit ribosomal RNA", at positions 355 to 774 of the family's 1533-position model. The record is from RNAcentral.